This 468-nucleotide ribosomal RNA is filed under the name uncultured bacterium. RNAcentral describes it as "bacterial SSU rRNA". It matches the Rfam family "Bacterial small subunit ribosomal RNA", at positions 337 to 796 of the family's 1533-position model. The record is from RNAcentral.
ACCUACGGGGGGCAGCAGUGGGGAAUUGUUCGCAAUGGGCGCAAGCCUGACGACGCAACGCCGCGUGGAGGAUGAAGAUCUUCGGGUCGUAAACUCCUUUCGAUCGAGACGAACGGCCUCCGGGCUAACAUCCUGGAGGAGUGACGGUACCGAGAGAAGAAGCCCCGGCUAACUCCGUGCCAGCAGCCGCGGUAAUACGGGGGGGGCAAGCGUUGUUCGGAAUUACUGGGCGUAAAGGGCUCGUAGGCGGCCAACUAAGUCAUACGUGAAAUCCCUCGGCUUAACCGGGGAACUGCGUCUGAUACUGGAUGGCUUGAGUUCGGGAGAGGGAUGCGGAAUUCCAGGUGUAGCGGUGAAAUGCGUAGAUAUCUGGAGGAACACCGGUGGCGAAGGCGGCAUCCUGGACCGAUACUGACGCUGAGGAGCGAAAGCCAGGGGAGCAAACGGGAUUAGAUACCCCCGUAGUCC